UGGGGUGUAGAUCAAUGUAGAGCACUUGCCUAGCACAUUUGAGGCCCUGGGUUCAAUCCCCAGUACCACAU
RNAcentral lists this transfer RNA (71 nucleotides) under Marmota marmota marmota (Alpine marmot). It matches the Rfam family "tRNA". Rfam says of the family: Transfer RNA (tRNA) molecules are approximately 80 nucleotides in length. Their secondary structure includes four short double-helical elements and three loops (D, anti-codon, and T loops). Further hydrogen bonds mediate the characteristic L-shaped molecular structure. tRNAs have two regions of fundamental functional importance: the anti-codon, which is responsible for specific mRNA codon recognition, and the 3' end, to which the tRNAs corresponding amino acid is attached (by aminoacyl-tRNA synthetases). tRNAs cope with the degeneracy of the genetic code in two manners: having more than one tRNA (with a specific anti-codon) for a particular amino acid; and 'wobble' base-pairing, i.e. permitting non-standard base-pairing at the 3rd anti-codon position. RNAcentral also lists the same sequence under 1 other name. Lineage: Eukaryota; Metazoa; Chordata; Mammalia; Rodentia; Sciuridae. The record is from Rfam by way of RNAcentral.